GCGCUCGUAGCUCAGCGGUAGAGCACUUCCUUGACGUGGAAGGGGUCUUCAGUUCGAUCCUGAACGGGCGCA
RNAcentral lists this transfer RNA (72 nucleotides) under Candidatus Berkelbacteria bacterium. RNAcentral's name for it is "tRNA-Val". It matches the Rfam family "tRNA". Rfam says of the family: Transfer RNA (tRNA) molecules are approximately 80 nucleotides in length. Their secondary structure includes four short double-helical elements and three loops (D, anti-codon, and T loops). Further hydrogen bonds mediate the characteristic L-shaped molecular structure. tRNAs have two regions of fundamental functional importance: the anti-codon, which is responsible for specific mRNA codon recognition, and the 3' end, to which the tRNAs corresponding amino acid is attached (by aminoacyl-tRNA synthetases). tRNAs cope with the degeneracy of the genetic code in two manners: having more than one tRNA (with a specific anti-codon) for a particular amino acid; and 'wobble' base-pairing, i.e. permitting non-standard base-pairing at the 3rd anti-codon position. The record is from RNAcentral. Lineage: Bacteria; Candidatus Berkelbacteria.